Molecule: long non-coding RNA, 947 nt
Organism: Brachypodium distachyon (stiff brome)
Lineage: Eukaryota; Viridiplantae; Streptophyta; Magnoliopsida; Poales; Poaceae
Exons: 2
Source: RefSeq, a predicted model, not a curated record
CCCGGUUUCUCCCGUCGGCCAAGCCUGCCUCUUUAUUUGCUCUAUGGGCCGCAGCUCAUCGUCUUUUUUUUUCUAUUUUUCUCUCCUUCUCGCUUGGGCUAGUCUCUCCUUUGGCCCAUCUUCUCCCCAGCGCCCCAGCCCAGCCUCGCACGAGAGCCCUUCGUCUUCCUCCUCUCUGCUCGCUCAGAACAGAGGCACGCACAAGCUGCACGCCGCCGCCUUGGCUUCCCCUUCGAUGCUCUUGGUCCCGACCGUUAAUCUACAAACCGAAACCACCAAAAUAAUCUCCAUCAUCUCACGAACCGAUUCAGGCUUUUAAUCUUCAGUUUCGUGUCUUCAAUUCUCCAUUGAAACGGACGCCCCGGAUGCCGGCUGUUGGCAUUCGUUUUCCCGAUCUCCCACCACAGCCCGCAAAUCAUUAUCCCGAGCGUGUCUCGUUGAGCCUCUUCCUCUCCCCCUUCGUUUCCUUGUCCAGAGUUUCGCCUAAGAACCAUUGUAGAGCCCGUGCCAUCAUCAUCUUGAACCAUUGUAGAGCCCGUGCCAUCAUCAUCUUCCCCGCUGGCCGCCGUCGCCAUUCUCGAAGGUGAGCUCGCAAGGUAUCUCCGUUCUGCAAUUCCUCGCAUUUGGGAACUCACGUAAUCUCCUUCUAUCUUUCCCAUGUAUCCGAUGCUUUUGGCCUCGUCAUCCCUAAUCCAUGCCGCCACAGCACCACGGUUGACGGAUUCCGGCGAAACCGACCACUGAAGGCCGCGUCCUCGCGCCAGUAGAAUCUGCACGUCAUCCUGGAUCCAACGCCCCAAGCUGCAGCCCGGCAGGACGACUACGCGGGACGAAUUUGGUUCACCUUCGUCAACUUCUGCCGUCCACGCCGAACGAUUCCGUCAUCUUCGAGAGGACGAGGUGGAACAGGGACAACAAGCUGAAGACAAAGAAUUCAUCAAUGAAGG